UCGUGUUUGUCACUGCGUGCGAGUCUUAAUUUUUCCUCAUCCGGUCUGUAUGCCCUGAAGAUGACACCGUGUCGAAACGACACAUUGAAGGUCUCCUUUGAGAGGAACCACACUUAAACAGCAGUUGGCAGCGCGUGGAGCCUUUGCGGUUUUUCUGACUGCCUGCGCGUCUGAGUCAAUAGUUCAGAGAUGCCUUUGAGGAGCUGAGGUCGUGAGAACCGAACGAACUAGUCCGCCUGUGGUCGGGCACGGAGCCAGCCAUUAAAUCCCCGCCCGCAGGCCGCGAGCGUUGCCGCUUCGACUGAGGUGCGGAGGCGGACGCCCGCAAGCAACACUCGGCGAGGGAACUUCAUCUUCGUCACUUCACAUUUCCUGUCCGUCUUUGUAUUUCUAGCCUGGCAACGCGGAACGUGGAGGUUACCCCGGGCGGCCUGUCGCAUCAACCUUGAUCAAGUAUCACACGCAGCUUCUCCACUUUCGGCGCACGGGGGGCUCGCGGCCUUUUGCAGCGAUUGAAGAUUCCAGGAAAGAAAGUCGAAAGUUCCCCCUUGGCACGGGUCAUCUUGAAGACUCCCAGGCGGCUUUGAAAGAGCCUCAGCAUGUUUGAUUUAUGUAUUUAUCUAUCGAGGGGGCAUCCUUGCCUAUCAUGCAGUACGGGGCAGCUGUUAUUCUAUUUUAGUUCUAGAUCACUACAGCGGGAAGUCCCGGCGAUAAAUGCUUGACGAAAGGCACUCCCAAAUUGGCAAUGUGAAAAUUAAACAGAUUUUAACUAUGAUGAAGUCAUGACCUCAGAGUUUGAACACCAGUUAAAAGAUUUUUGUUGUUGUUAUUGAGGAACCAAGAUCGUAUUGUAUAAGCAUUUAUUACUAAAAUGGCACCCAGUAGACUGCAGACCUCCACCAUAAUGGAAAAAAAAAUCUCUAUCGAUGUGGCACAACCCUGAAAAGAAAUGAAAACCCUUAAAAGGCAUAAAAAUAUCCCAUUGUUUUUUUGUUGUUGUUGUUGGGUUUGUUUGCAGUUUAGUACGCUUCUAAAAAAGCAGCGCAGUUUAGUUUGCAGCUGCUAUGCAGUCAUUUUCAUUUCCAAAAUUGUCAAGCUAAUAAUUAAACAUAGGGCG
Molecule: long non-coding RNA, 1117 nt
Organism: Hippocampus zosterae (dwarf seahorse)
Lineage: Eukaryota; Metazoa; Chordata; Actinopteri; Syngnathiformes; Syngnathidae
Exons: 3
Source: RefSeq, a predicted model, not a curated record